UACAGAGAGUGCAAGCGUUAAUCAGAAUUACUGGGCGUAAAGCGCACGUAGGUGGAUAUUUAAGUCACAUGUGAAAGCCCCGGGCUUAACCUGGGAACUGCAUCUGAUACUGGGUAUCUUGAGUAUGGUAGAGGGAAGUGGAAUUUCCGGUGUAGCGGUGAAAUGCGUAGAUAUCGGAAGGAACACCAGUGGCGAAAGCGGCUUCCUGGACCAAUACUGACACUGAGGUGCGAAAGCGUGGGGAGCAAACAGG
This 253-nucleotide ribosomal RNA is filed under the name uncultured bacterium. RNAcentral's name for it is "partial 16S ribosomal RNA". It matches the Rfam family "Bacterial small subunit ribosomal RNA", at positions 524 to 776 of the family's 1533-position model. The record is from RNAcentral.